This 4216-nucleotide long non-coding RNA is filed under the name Olea europaea subsp. europaea. The record is from RNAcentral. Lineage: Eukaryota; Viridiplantae; Streptophyta; Magnoliopsida; Lamiales; Oleaceae.
CCAUUUCAAAAGACUUUUGCUAAAAUUUAACUUUCCCAUUCAAACCAAGCGUGAAUUCCUUUUCUUCCUCUUUGCCCUCGAAAGUGCUUUUAUCCUCUUUACCGCGACUUCAGCCGUGCCAUAUUUGGCCCCAAGGGGUUGAAUUAUCCAACAACGAGUUCAUUCUUCUAGGCCAAAACUGGUGAUUCAAAAUAUGGGUCAAUUUCUUCACUGAUUUCUCUCGGCCGCGAUUUGUCUUCAUCGUGAUUGGCAUUGCUUGAACUAUCCAAUAGUGGGUUCAUUUCGGAAGCAAACAAAAAGUCAAAAUAUGGUUUGAUUCGAAGAGAUGAUGGAUAAAGGUAUUUUCCUCCCUCAUUUUAGCAUGAUACUGGUUUAGGGGUUAGGGACAAAGGUAUACUCUGUGAGAUUAAAGAAUAAUCAUAAAAAGCUCAUCCUUUUUUUUUUGAAGUAAAUCCUUAUUAAAUUGAGUUCAUUAAACUGCAGGCAAAAUAGAAAUAGGUGCACAAUCUAACCAAUGGUGCACAUGGUCACAUGAAAUAGUAGCUAAUGAAACCAAUUUAUGAGCCGCUUCAUUCUCAUCACGGAACGUAUAGUAACAAGACUUAUAAAUGCCUAUCCAAUCGAGAUACUUCUUUUAAAUUGAAACAACUUGAUUUGUGGAAUUUUUCAACGUGAAAUACUAAUCUAUAAAGAUAACAAAAAAUAAACCAAAGAUAUAAUUUUAAGACGUUUGACUCACAAUUCCAUAGAAUGUUAUUAACUCAAACCUCUAACAUGAGUAUGAUGUGAAAUUGCAAGAUAGAUAGUACAUUAGUUCAUAUGUGAAUUUCUCCAAAAGGUGUAAACCAAUUUACGAAUCCAUGUUUUACAGGAUACUUUUAUUUCCUUAACUAGAUUGAGAAGAAUUAGGAAUGAGACUCACAUAUAUAAAAGAAGGAAGAAUUAUAUGUACUUCAAGUGUCUUCCUUACAAUUUUUCGUUAUUUUUGUCGCAGUGAAAGGAAUUUAGGAAGAAGUAGACAUCGAUAUCUUGUUAGAAUUAGAUAACGACAAGAUGUUGGAAAGUGUGAAUGUAGUGGAUAAUGGAAUUGUAGGAGUAGAUGGUAUGAUCGUUCCCGAGGUAGGUAUGAAGUUCAAUGAUGAAAAAAAAUGUUUGAUUUUUACAAAAGAUAUGCAUACAACUUAGGCUUUCCGGUUAGGAAAAGAAGUUCGCAAAAGGAUGAUGAUGGAAUUAUAAGAUAUGUUGUGUUUACAUGUAGCCAUGAAGGUCGUUGAAGUAGUAACACAAGUGCUUCUAUGAAGUUGCAAGCUACCAUUGAAAUGGUUUGUAAAGCUAGGUUGAUUGCAUCAUUAGAUGUGUGCGUAGUAUGGAGAUUAAUACAGUCAAUCUCAUUCAUAAUCAUAAAACCAGCCCUUCGAAGCCAGGUUGUAUUGUUGCAAUUGAGAAUUGAGUAUCCAUGUCAAACGAUGACUUGAAGUGAAUGACAUGGCAAGGACUCCUUCGCAUAGAAGUUACAACUCCGUGAUUGUAGAAGUAGGGAGUAUGAGAAUAUGACUUGCACCAAAAAGGAUUGUCGAAAUUAUGUUGAACGAGUGAGGCGGUUAAGAUUUGGAGAAGGAGAUGCCGCAACAAUACAGUUAUAAUUUUCAAACAUGUAAGUAAGGUGCUCAGGUUUUUUCUUUAAUAUGGAUUUAGAUGAAGAGUCACGGUUAAGGAAUAUUUUCUGAGCAAAUAAUAGGAGUAGACAAGCAUAUAAGGAGUUUGGCGACAUUGUAACAUUCGAUACCAUGUACCUAACUAUUAAGUAUGACGUGCCAUUUGUGCCUUUUGUUGGAGUUAAUCAUCAUAGUCAAUCAACACUUAUUGGUUGUGGUUUGUUGUCGAACGAAAAUAUAGAAACAUUUGUGUUGCUUUUCAAGACUUGGCUUCAAUGCAUGCAUGGAUAAGCAUCCCUUGACAUUAUUAUCGAUCAAGACAGGGCCAUACAGAAUGCAAUUUAGAUUGCAUUCCCAAACACAAAACAUAGAUGUUGUUUGAGGUACAUAUUGAAGAAGUUACCAGAGAAGUUUGGAUACCACAUCGAUAAGGUGAAAUCUUUUCUGCCAUGCACGUACUGAUGUAUGAUACUAAAUCUGUUGACGAAUUUGAAGAGGGUUGAAGUGCAAUGAUAGAGAAGUAUAACUUCCAUGACAAUGACUGGUUGUCGGGACUAUACUCGAACAGGGGCUGUUGGGUACCUUGCUAUUUGAAAAGCAGCUUCUAUGUUGGAAUGUCAACAACUCAGCGCAGUGAAAACAUGAAUACAUUCUUCAAUGGGUAUAUGCACUCUAAGAUAUUAUUGAAACAAUUUAUCGAACAAUAUGAGCGAACUUUGAGGAAUAAGGUAGAGAAUGAGUUCCAGAUAGAUUUCAAAUCACAAUUGGUUCCACGUGCAACGAAAUACGAGCUAGAGAAGCAAUUUCAACUAGUUUACCCCAUUUCAAAAUUUAGGAAAAAUCAAGAUGAGUUCAUUGGGAAGGUAUAUUGUGAUCUCAUAUCUUCGUCAGAGGGUUUUUUCAUGGACGUUGUAUGAGGUAUUAGAGGAUGUCAUACUUGAAAAUCAAGUGAAGAAAAAGAAGUUUUAUCACUUUUCAAAAAGAGAAAUGUGAAAUUGUAUGUAGUUGUCACCUCUUCGAGUUUCGAGGAAUAAUUUGCAAGCAUGCGAUCGCUGUACUUCACUGUAAUAACAUCAUUUCACUACCCGACACCUACAUAUUAUGAAGAUGUAGAAGAGAAGUGAGUAGAGCCCACACCAGGGUCACAGCCAACUAUGAUGGUUUGAGUAGUAGUCUAGCCUAGUUGAGCUAUGACAAAUUUGUGUCAAUCAUUUGCUUCUCUUGCGAACAUGGUUGUAGAGGACGACGAGCAAAUCCGUCAGAUAAUGGAAUGGAUAUAAUGCAAAGAACGAACAGUGUAGAUGACGAGGUCGAUUGGUGGAAGUAAUAACAUAUCGCAGCAGGCAUUUCAGAUAGCGUUGGAUGAUGGAGAAUCACAGUACUCUGGCAAGGGAAGUGUACAGGACCCAAAAUGCUCGAACAAAAAGGUGCACCAAAGAAACUCCGAAGGAAAAGCUUUAUGAAAUCGAAUUUCAGUAAAGCAAAGGUAUGUUUGAAAUUUAUUUUGUUUUGUAAGAAAGUGCAUAGUGGUAGUAAUUAUUUGUCUGUUAUGCAAUCCCGUCCAACUUUAGUCAAGGGAAGGAGAACUAGGGCAGGCCCAAGUAAACCGGGAGAAGUUGAAUCGGUCUCAUAUUCCAUACAGGCACCAGUCUCAUAUUCACAACUCUUGAUUGUUCGUCUCUUUCCAUUGAUCCCUGAAUAUGAUUUGCACUUUUCAGUUACAUUAUGAUAUGGUGCAGGGUGUUCGCGAAAUUCAUGCAUUUACACAACAGCGUCUCCUAGUUUCAUCCCAUUGGAUCCGACAAAUGCUAUGUUGUAUGGACCAGCUAAUGAUAUAGUUGAACAUCCGUAAUUUAUUUCAAGUCAUACUUCGUUUGCGUAAUAACUUUGUUUACUUCACAGCUAGAAAUGCAAUGCCUAAUUACUAUCUAAAUGUACCUCACCGACAUGGAUUGAACUUGUGAUGCUAGAUGAAAAGAAAUGAUGGACAAAUAUUCACAAGGCAAUUAGGAGAUGGGGAAGGGUUGCGUUUUUAUUUUCCCCUUCCUCAUUUUGCUCUAUUUUCGUUCUUUUUAAUUUUCCCUUCCUAACUUGAGUUUAAUUUUGGUCUUAGGUCAAUGGUUGCUUGGUGUGAGUUCACAAAGCUCCAAGUUCACUGUACGGCCUGGAAGAAUAGAAGUUUAGAAAGAGCAUGGCAGAUUUAAGUUCAAAGCACAUGGUGCACUUUCAUGAUGGGUCCUUCAAUUGUGUGUUGUUUUAUGAAAAUGUAUUACAUUGAACCAAGUUACAGUAUCCUUAAUUUGGUAGUUUUAUGGUCUGUCAAAUUGUGUAUUGGUCAGUAGUCAGUGAUUGUUACGCCUUUGGACCAUGCCGAUUUCAUUAAAUGGGUUCCAAACAGUAUAGUUGGCUUUGAUGGCAUGCAUACUAGGAUCUUGUAAUUCGAACCCUUCCUGGAAAGGGUCAUAAUGUUGUUCUUCCAUUUCCAUAUAAUUAUAAGUAAUAUUUCUAGGUUGGGGUGAUGAUGAAUCUCUAUUUUGUGAAGGAUCAAAAUAAGAUAAGGC